AGAGGAGAUAGCAUAAAAAGUGUGGCUUAUUUACACUAAGAAGGUAGAAAUUUUCUUCUCCUCUA
This is a non-coding RNA of Mya arenaria, 65 nucleotides long. Lineage: Eukaryota; Metazoa; Mollusca; Bivalvia; Myida; Myidae. The record is from the annotation of a RefSeq genome assembly.